UAGGAAGUUGACCAAUCUUGAAAUUCCAAAGAGGGAUGAAUGGUUUGACGGCUUAGUGAGUGAAAAUCCAACUGCUGGACCAAGUGGCAACAAUGUGUCUGCAGACUCUCUGUUAAAAGAUGGUUAUGAAUCUGCAAAUGAAAGGUUCACUAUAGAACAGGGUGACAAGGUUCCAAAGAAAAAGUUUGAUGAAGAUGAAGAUAAUGAUGUAGAAGACAUCCCCAAAGAAGCAAUCCUCCAAAGGAUUAAUUCAAAGAAGGGA
Molecule: unclassified non-coding RNA, 262 nt
Filed under: Hevea brasiliensis (rubber tree)
Lineage: Eukaryota; Viridiplantae; Streptophyta; Magnoliopsida; Malpighiales; Euphorbiaceae
Source: RNAcentral